RNAcentral lists this ribosomal RNA (405 nucleotides) under uncultured bacterium. Its description in RNAcentral is "partial 16S ribosomal RNA". It matches the Rfam family "Bacterial small subunit ribosomal RNA", at positions 30 to 526 of the family's 1533-position model. The record is from RNAcentral.
AUUGAACGCUAGCGGGAUGCUUUACACAUGCAAGUCGAACGAGCGGCGGCCGGGUGAGUAAUAUCUCGGAACGUGCCCAGUAGCGGGGGAUAACUACUGGAAAGAGUGGCUAAUACCGCAUACCAUCGGAGCGGCCGAUAUGGGAUUAGCUAGUUGGGGGGGUAAAGGCUCACCUAGGCAACGAUCCGUAGCUGGUUUGAGAGGACGACCAGCCACACUGGGACUGAGACACGGCCCAGACUCCUACGGGAGGCAGCAGUGGGGAAUUUUGGACAAUGGGGGAAACCCUGAUCCAGCCAUCCCGCGUGUAUGAGAAGGCCUUCGGGUUGUAAAGUACUUUUGGCAGGGAAGCGGUAUCUGCAGAAUAAGCACCGGCUAACUACGUGCCAGCCGCCGCGGUAAUAC